AGGUGCCCCCAGGUGCCCCCAGGUGCGUACCGUGCAUGUUGUAGUCGAAGGUGAGCUCCUCCCCGGCGCGGAUGGGGUGUGUGUGGGUGUGUCCCAGGUGUGUGUGGGUGUGUCCCAGGUGUGUGUGGGUGUGUCCCAG
Myiozetetes cayanensis is the source of this 139-nucleotide long non-coding RNA. RefSeq lists it as uncharacterized. The record is from RefSeq and is a predicted model, not a curated record. The transcript is spliced from 3 exons. Lineage: Eukaryota; Metazoa; Chordata; Aves; Passeriformes; Tyrannidae.